Bufo bufo (common toad) is the source of this 1780-nucleotide long non-coding RNA. RefSeq lists it as uncharacterized. NCBI's taxonomy places the organism in Eukaryota, Metazoa, Chordata, Amphibia, Anura, Bufonidae. The transcript has 2 exons. The record is from RefSeq and is a predicted model, not a curated record.
AAAAGAUUACAAAAUUUAUUUUGCAGAGUUUUACAAGGUGCACUUAUAAAACUUAUACACAGUAUGAUUUCCAACAGAAGAAAAAACUCAUUUCCUUUCAUUCAUAAAUAAGCAGAUAACCAGAAGAUCAUAUCUCAGAGCGCUGUACAAUUCAUGGUUUGGGGGGGAUUAGGGAAGCAAAAUUUAUCUGCACAUUCUGAUUUUCUUCGCAAAAAAUCAUAUCUUCCUUUUGACAUUUUAGCUCUUUAUUAAUCACACAAAAUCCUGCCUUUCCCCCAUCAUAUGGGAUUCGCGACUGAUAAGUGUGCGUCUACAGGCAGGGUAUGAAUUAUGCAGCACGCAUAACAUUCUCUAUAAGAACACUACUUCUACAACUCAAGGCCAACACUUGAUGGGGCGAGAACGCCUCAACUGAAGCACUAAAAAGUCUUUGAAAAAGUCCAUCACCCAAUAGCAAAUGAUCAAUAUUCGUUACUUCCACCACAUGCUAAUCUGUCCAUACAAAAGUGGACGAAUCAAGAAAAGCGAGAGAUUAUACUGAAAGGAGGACCGCCAGUGACUGGCCCGGUCAUCACCACCAUUUUGUUACUGGGUCCCUAUGACAACACUUCCAACCCUUUGCUCUAGCUCCGUUCCUGUGGGUUCAAAUCAACAUAAAAUACUAGAAAAGUGUCAGUGUGGACAAUGACGUGGAAGUUGAUGAAGAUCCCACACACUAUCUAUAUAGCAAUUCAAUAACACCUGCUAGAACAUAAAAAUAGUGAUAAGCAAGAAAGGCUGAGAAACUGUCCCUGUGAUACGCUCUUUUCCCUAGAAAAGAGUGCCACUCUUGCCCGUGGGGUUGACCCUUUUGUUUUUACUAAAGGUUGCCGAGCCAAACAAUUCAUGGGCAGGAGUGUCGCUGCUUCUAGAAGACAACUCCCUAAUAAAAGGGCACUAAAGUGAUAUUCUCCACAGGUACGGUUAUCUGAAAUAUAUUUUAGAUACUUAUUUCAGAUGACCAUUUAAUUCCCAGGAACUUCAAGUACUAUUGUCCCGUAAAGGAGUGAAUAGUGACCCUUUUAUUCGUUGCAGCAAAGUGACUUCAACUGUUCUAUAGGGGUAAAAAAUGGCAGGUGACAAGGUCAGUGUUUCUGCAACUGUCACAAGGUCAUAUUUCCAUAGGGGGCAAACAGGGUUGGGCUGGGGUUCCUUGGGCCGACCAAAGAAAAAAUUAUUCUCGUGGCUCAACCCCCAUAUCAUCAAUAAAGUCCAAAAGACAAUUAACUGGCUCCAAAAGGCAGCACCAAAUGUUUUUUUUCCUAGGCCCACUAUGGUACAAGAGCCUGGGCCAACUGGAGGAUCCUCUAGUACGGGGCCAGUCCGAUGCUGGGGACAGUAAUUUUACCUUGUCCUCCCCAGCCUUCCACUGUAGUAUGGGGACAGUAUAAAUCUACUUAGACAUACAUGGCAAUGUGGCCUAGCCCAAGUGGUAGAUGACCCAAUCACAAGUGAUAAUACUCAUCAGCAGAAGGCCUGGACACGUGCUGUAUGCAAAAGAAGAAACAUUAAAAGGUUUUCAUGUUCCUUCCAGAAAACAUUUCCUGUGUGUGUAGUCAUCUACAUUAGGGACAGUAACAAAGGCUCAACUAACCUAAGAAAAAUCAAUCCCAUUCCAAUUUUCAGCUGCUCACAAAUGUAAAUGAAUCAGAAACCGAUGCAUGGGUUUACACUUUUUAUAAUCAGUCCAAAAUUCUGCACAAAUCAAUUAUUUGAUACAUCUUUAUUGAGGUCAGACCUC